UGUGGCAUCGCCGGGAACUCGCGCAGUGGCAUGGCUCUCCAGUGCCAGUUUGUCACGUGUUGAGUGAGGUCGCGCCGGGCACCCAUACCCCUCGCGGGCAAGAGUAAAGGUUCUUCAAUUACGAGAAAAAACAUAUAUGAUCUCUGAUAUUAAUUUCUUUUGUUAAUGAUUGUUGACUAAAGCUGACCUCUAUAGAUAUACGUGUAUUUUAUGACCUUCAAAAUCACGUGAUUUUAACAACAGGAUCAGACGAUUAAUUGUUAUUAGUGAAAGUUAACAAAGAUUAACAAUGGUUCUUGAGAAAGACGUGAUGCUUAUCAGAAAAUCAAGAAGAAUGUAAAAAUGGAUGAUACGGAGGAAACAGCAUGGAUGAAGAAAAUGCUUAGAUAACUCAAGAGUGAAAAAGAAUCAGUGAAAAAAAAAUAUAAAACAGUGAAACAGAGAGGAAAGAGACAGUGAGAUA
Penaeus indicus is the source of this 463-nucleotide long non-coding RNA. RefSeq lists it as uncharacterized. The transcript has 2 exons. NCBI's taxonomy places the organism in Eukaryota, Metazoa, Arthropoda, Malacostraca, Decapoda, Penaeidae. The record is from RefSeq and is a predicted model, not a curated record.